RNAcentral lists this ribosomal RNA (450 nucleotides) under uncultured bacterium. RNAcentral's name for it is "bacterial SSU rRNA". It matches the Rfam family "Bacterial small subunit ribosomal RNA", at positions 354 to 796 of the family's 1533-position model. The record is from RNAcentral.
GUGGGGAAUUUUGGACAAUGGGGGCAACCCUGAUCCAGCAAUGCCGCGUGUGUGAAGAAGGCCUUCGGGUUGUAAAGCACUUUUGGCGGGAGCGAAAGGGCCUGGGCUAAUACCCCGGGUUGAUGACGGUACCCGCAGAAUAAGCACCGGCUAACUACGUGCCAGCAGCCGCGGUAAUACGUAGGGUGCAAGCGUUAAUCGGAAUUACUGGGCGUAAAGCGAGCGCAGGCGGUUGUGUAAGACAGAUGUGAAAUCCCCGGGCUCAACCUGGGAACUGCAUUUGUGACUGCACGGCUAGAGUGCGUCAGAGGGGGGUGGAACUCCACGUGUAGCAGUGAAAUGCGUAGAGAUGUGGAAGAACACCGAUGGCGAAGGCAGCCCCCUGGGAUGACACUGACGCUCAUGCUCGAAAGCGUGGGGAGCAAACAGGAUUAGAUACCCGUGUAGUCC